CGCGCUCUUUCACCAUACCAUAUCCCUUUAAUAGGUCCUUCUUGAUUUUCUAGAAAAUUCGCACGUUCUUGUUAAUUAAUCUCCAAUAUUAUUUGUAUAAAAAUUUACAAGACAAGUAUUUAAAAAUAAUCGAAUACAAAUACAGGUUAUAAUUUAUUGUUUAUUAUAACCUCUAAUUUUAUUGACUUUUCCAUAGAUUGAAAACGCUUAUUCGAUGAAAAUGACAUUUUUGUCCAUAUGUCAGUAUACUAUUUGCAACAAUUCAAUUUAAAUUGAGUGGUAAAAAUUAACAAUUAAGUAUUCAAUAUAGAAAUAAGUAAACAUUUGAACUGUCAACUGUUAAAAUGACUUCUUGCUCUUUAGAAAUUAUACUUGCUCCACAAUAGUGAAUAUUUAUUCAUUAGCAAUUAUAACAUUGAUUUAAAUUAGUGAUCAUUUUACAAUAGCAAAUGAGUGAAUAUUUUCAUUAUGUUGCUGUGACUUUCACUGAUUUAUUUUCAUAUGGAGCAGGUUAGAAAAGCGUUUAUUAAAUAUUUCACUAUUUAAGUCAGUGUGACCGUAAUGAAAAUGUAAAAUGAAUGAAUUUUAAUUAAUUACAAAAAUGAUCUCUAACAUGGUAGCAGCAUGUACAUGGUUGACGCAAUGAUCUCCCUCUUAAAAUCAUCUGUUCGUAAUCAAUAAUACAAGAUGAUUCCAUUUCUUCACGCAGUUGUCACAUGGUCUUAAAGGAUUGUAUAGAUUGAAGUACAAUAUAUGAAUAAGAAACCAAUAAAUAAAAUGUCACGCUGUAAUUACCUCAAAUUUUGUUCAUUUUUUAAUAAGCGAGUGCCUACAAAAAGUUCUUGUAUUCAUCUGAAUUAUCAUAAACACGCACAGCCACAUAAUACAGUUGUACAUCAUGAAACAGGUUAUUUUUUCGAGCGAGCAGCAAUCAGUAUUCGUUGUUUAUGCUCAAUGCACAAAGUUAUUGAAAGAAACGUUUUACAUUCAACAAUUGCUCCACUAUCUUAUUGGGAAAAGAAGUGGCGAAAUUAUAGAAAAAAUACCUCAGAGGCUAAUUAUAAGAAUUUGAGUUUUAUUUUAAGUGGAUUAGGAUUGAUUGUAGCUUAUUGUGAUGCUCCAAUAUCAUUAAAAGAGAAAAGGUUUUUUCGAGCCGCACAGUAUGGAAAUAUUCCAGAUUUAAAGAAGGCAAUAUUAGAAGGAGUUGAUGUAAACAUGAGACACAGUCUUGGAUGGACAGCAUUGCAUUCAGCAGCAAUAAAUGGUAAAGUUGAUGCUCUCAAAUUUUUAAUUAGUCAAGGAGCUGAUGUAAAUGCGGAAGAUGAAUUUAUAAAUGUUUAUAAAACUGGAAGAGAGAAAGGACUUCAUUCAUUAGAAGUUCUUAUGAUACGUGAAGAAGAAUUUUCUGAUAGAUUAAAUAGUCGAGCUACUUUUAAAGGUUUUACUCCAUUACAUUAUGCUGUUCUUGCCGAUUCUUACGAAUGUGUUAAAGCACUUUUAGAUGCAGGUGCUAAUCCUACGAUAGAUAAUGAAUCUGGUCAUAGGCCUGAAGAAUAUUCGAAAAAUGACAAAAUAAAGAAAUUACUUAUUCAGAAGGCUCAAAAAUAUGAUGAAUUACUUAAAGAAAAGGAAGCAGAAGAACGACGAAGAUUCCCAUUGGAGCAAAGAUUAAAGCAACAUAUUGUUGGUCAAGAAGGUCCUAUUUCUAUUGUAGCAUCUACUAUAAGAAGAAAAGAAAAUGGUUGGAUUGAUGAAGAACAUCCCUUAGUAUUUCUUUUCCUUGGUUCCUCUGGUAUUGGAAAAACAGAGUUAGCGAAACAACUUGCUGCUUAUAUUCAUAAAGAUAAAAAAGAUGGAUUUAUUAGAUUGGAUAUGUCUGAGUAUCAAGAAAAGCAUGAAGUUGCUAAAUUAAUUGGCGCUCCACCUGGAUAUGUAGGUCAUGAUGAUGGAGGACAGUUGACAAAACUUUUAAAAAAAUUCCCAAAUGCCGUGGUACUUUUCGAUGAAGUAGAUAAGGCACACCCUGAUGUACUAACCGUUCUUUUACAACUAUUUGAUGAGGGAAGACUAACAGAUGGAAAAGGUAAAACAAUUGAGUGUAAAGAUGCUGUAUUUAUAAUGACGUCAAAUCUUGCCAGUGAAGAAAUAGCUGAACAUGCUAUGCAAUUACGAGCUGAAGCAGAAAGUGUAUUACAACAACGACUUGACAAGAAUUCUAAUGAAGAUCAAGAACCAGAACGAAUCGUUAUAUCACGACAUUUUAAAGAUGAAGUGGUGCGGCCCAUAUUAAAGGCUCACUUUCGACGUGAUGAGUUUCUAGGUAGAAUAAACGAGAUCGUAUAUUUCCUACCAUUCUCACGUAGUGAAUUGAUAAAGCUUGUAGCUCGUGAACUCGAAGCCUGGGCUACAAGAGCAAAAGAGAGACAUAUGAUAGAACUGAAAUGGGAUCGUGAGGUUCUUUCAGUUCUUGCUGAUGGUUAUGAUGCUCAUUAUGGUGCUCGGUCUAUAAAAUAUGAAGUAGAAAGACGAGUAGUUAACCAGUUGGCUGCUGCUCAUGAACGUGGACAACUCGGUAAAAAAUGCUGCGUCAAACUAAAAACUAAAUGGCAUGAAAACGGAGCCAGUAUUAUGCUUUCAGUUCGACCUCCUGGAGUUAAGGAUUUUGUUGACAUUGCAGAGACAGAUAAUGUUAUAAAAAAUGUUCAUGCCCAGUUUUAGUGAAUAGUAACUAUUUUUCUAUGCUAAAAGUGUUCAACCAAAUAUAAACUCAGGAUUUUUGAUUAUAAAUAUUUAUUUAAUAUUUUCAUAGAGUGAAAUUGAUAGCCUUUUAUUAUAUGAACUAAACUGCACUUUUGUAGGACUGAAAUAUUCACCAAUGAAAAACUUGUAACAUAAUUUGUUGGAAAAAAGAUUCAUUUGUUAUCAAACAAUACAAUUCGCUGUAAAUAAAUUCAUCUUUAAUGUAAACUGAUAAUUAAAGUUACAUAACAAGACAUUUUGGUUGAACAUCACACUUAAAGUACAGUAUACAUUUUUUAUAUUAUAUACCAAGAUAAAAGAUUGUGUCGAAUUGGAGUUAUUGAGAAAAUAAAAACUUUC
This 3099-nucleotide unclassified non-coding RNA is filed under the name Chelonus insularis. Its description in RNAcentral is "caseinolytic peptidase B protein homolog, transcript variant X1". The record is from RNAcentral. Lineage: Eukaryota; Metazoa; Arthropoda; Insecta; Hymenoptera; Braconidae.